UGCAGUCGAACGGUAGCAGAAAGUGCUUGCACUUUGCUGACGAGUGGCGGACGGGUGAGUAAUGCUUGGGAACUUGCCUUUAGGUGGGGGAUAACAGUUGGAAACGACUGCUAAUACCGCAUAAUGUCUACGGACCAAAGGGGGCUUCGGCUCCCGCCUUGAGAGAGGCCCAAGUGAGAUUAGCUAGUUGGCGGGGUAAAGGCCUACCAAGGCAGCGAUCUCUAGCUGUUCUGAGAGGAAGAUCAGCCACACUGGGACUGAGACACGGCCCAGACUCCUACGGGAGGCAGCAGUGGGGAAUAUUGCACAAUGGGGGAAACCCUGAUGCAGCCAUGCCGCGUGUGUGAAGAAGGCCUUCGGGUUGUAAAGCACUUUCAGUUGUGAGGAAAGGUUGGUAGUUAAUACCCGCCAGCUGUGACGUUAACAACAGAAGAAGCACCGGCUAACUCCGUGCCAGCAGCCGCGGUAAUACGGAGGGUGCGAGCGUUAAUCGGAAUUACUGGGCGUAAAGCGCACGCAGGCGGCUUGUUAAGCUAGAGGUGAAAGCCCCGCGCUCAACGUGGGAACUGCCUUUAGAACUGGCAGGCUAGAGUCUUGGAGAGGGGAGUGGAAUUCCAGGUGUAGCGGUGAAAUGCGUAGAUAUCUGGAGGAACAUCAGUGGCGAAGGCGGCUCCCUGGCCAAAGACUGACGCUCAUGUGCGAAAGUGUGGGUAGCGAACAGGAUUAGAUACCCUGGUAGUCCACACCGUAAACGCUGUCUACUAGCUGUUUGUGUAUUUAAUACGUGAGUA
Molecule: ribosomal RNA, 791 nt
Filed under: uncultured Alteromonas sp.
Lineage: Bacteria; Pseudomonadati; Pseudomonadota; Gammaproteobacteria; Alteromonadales; Alteromonadaceae
Description: bacterial SSU rRNA
Rfam family: Bacterial small subunit ribosomal RNA
Source: RNAcentral